AUUGCCCUAGUAACGGCGAGUGAAGCGGCAACAGCUCAAAUUUGAAAUCUGGCCCUUGCGGUCCGAGUUGUAAUUUGUAGAGGAUGCUUUUGGUUAGGUGCCUUCCGAGUGCCCUGGAACGGGCCGCCAUAGAGGGUGAGAGCCCCGUCUGGUUGGACACCGAGCCUCUGUAAAGCUCCUUCGACGAGUCGAGUAGUUUGGGAAUGCUGCUCUAAAUGGGAGGUAUAUGUCUUCUAAAGCUAAAUAUUGGCCAGAGACCGAUAGCGCACAAGUAGAGUGAUCGAAAGAUGAAAAGCACUUUGAAAAGAGGGUUAAAAAGUACGUGAAAUUGUUGAAAGGGAAGCGCUUGUGACCAGACUUGGGCCCGGUCAAUCAUCCAGGGUUCUCCCUGGUGCACUUGGCCGGCCCAGGCCAGCAUCAGUUCGUCGCGGGGGAUAAAGACGUUGGGAAUGUGGCUCCCCCGGGAGUGUUAUAGCCCUUCGUGCAAUACCCUGCUUUGGACUGAGGUUCGCGCAUCUUGCAAGGAUGCUGGCGUAAUGGUCAUCAGCGACCCGUCUUGAAACACGGACCAAGGAGUCGUCUUCGUAUGCGAGUGUUCGGGUAUCAAACCCCUACGCGUAAUGAAAGUGAACGCAGGUGAGAGCUUCGGCGCAUCAUCGACCGAUCCUGAUGUUCUCGGAUGGAUUUGAGUAAGAGCAUACGGGGCCGGACCCGAAAGAAGGUGAACUAUGCCUGUAUAGGGUGAAGCCAGAGGAAACUCUGGUGGAGGCUCGCAGCGGUUCUGACGUGCAAAUCGAUCGUCAAAUAUGGGCAU
This 814-nucleotide ribosomal RNA is filed under the name Nectria synnematosa. RNAcentral describes it as "Nectria sp. RHP-2022a partial large subunit ribosomal RNA". It matches the Rfam family "Eukaryotic large subunit ribosomal RNA", at positions 74 to 918 of the family's 3401-position model. Lineage: Eukaryota; Fungi; Ascomycota; Sordariomycetes; Hypocreales; Nectriaceae. The record is from RNAcentral.